RNAcentral lists this ribosomal RNA (580 nucleotides) under uncultured bacterium. Its description in RNAcentral is "bacterial SSU rRNA". It matches the Rfam family "Bacterial small subunit ribosomal RNA", at positions 264 to 844 of the family's 1533-position model. The record is from RNAcentral.
CUCACCAUAGCAAUGAUGUCUAGGGGUUUUGAGAGGAAGGCCCCCCACACUGGGACUGAGACACGGCCCAGACUCCUACGGGAGGCAGCAGUGAGGAAUAUUGGACAAUGGAUGGAAAUCUGAUCCAGCCAUGCCGCGUGCAGGAAGACGGCCUUAUGGGUUGUAAACUGCUUUUAUACGGGAGCAAUAAGGGUUACGAGUAAUCCGAUGAGAGUACUGUAUGAAUAAGGAUCGGCUAACUCCGUGCCAGCAGCCGCGGUAAUACGGAGGAUCCGAGCGUUAUCCGGAAUUAUUGGGUUUAGAGGGUGCGUAGGCGGCCAUUUAAGUCAGCGGUGAAAUUUUGCAGCUUAACUGUAACAGUGCCGUUGAUACUGUUUGGCUAGGAUUUGGUUGUAGUGUGCGGAAUGUGUGGUGUAGCGGUGAAAUGCUUAGAUAUCACACAGAACACCGAUUGCGAAGGCAGCACACUAAGUCAUUAUUGACGCUGAGGCACGAAAGUGUGGGGAUCAAACAGGAUUAGAUACCCUGGUAGUCCACACUGUAAACGAUGAUAACUCGCUGUCGGCGAUACACAGUCGGU